Molecule: ribosomal RNA, 472 nt
Filed under: Acrolophus walsinghami
Lineage: Eukaryota; Metazoa; Arthropoda; Insecta; Lepidoptera; Acrolophidae
Description: partial 16S ribosomal RNA
Rfam family: Bacterial large subunit ribosomal RNA
Source: RNAcentral
GGCUGCAGUAUUUUGACUGUACAAAGGUAGCAUAAUCAAUAGUCUCUUAAUUGGUGACUUGUAUGAAUGAUUGGAUGAGAUAUAAGCUGUCUCUAAUUGAUAUUUAGAAUUUAAUUUUUUAAUUAAAAAGUUAAAAUAAUUUAAAAAGACGAGAAGACCCUAUAGAGUUUUAUUUAUUAAUGAAUUAAAAUUAUUUAUAAAAUUUAAAUUAAAAUUCGUUAAUAAAUUUUGUUGGGGUGAUAGAAAAAUUAAAUGAACUUUUUUUAUAAAUUUACAUAAAAAAGUGUUUAAAUGAUCCAAAAUUUUUGAUUAAAUGAUUAAAUUACCUUAGGGAUAACAGCGUAAUUUUUUUUUUUAGUUCAAAUAAAAAGAAAAGUUUGCGACCUCGAUGUUGGAUUAAGAUAAAAUUUAAAUGCAAAAGUUUAAAAUUUUGGUCUGUUCGAUCAUUAAAAUCUUACGUGAUCUGAGUUCA